RNAcentral lists this ribosomal RNA (485 nucleotides) under uncultured bacterium. Its description in RNAcentral is "partial 16S ribosomal RNA". It matches the Rfam family "Bacterial small subunit ribosomal RNA", at positions 28 to 506 of the family's 1533-position model. The record is from RNAcentral.
AUUGAACGCUGGCGGCAUGCCUUACACAUGCAAGUCGAACGGCAGCACGGGUGCUUGUUCCUGGUGGGGGGUGGCGGACGGGGGCGGAAUACAUAGGCACAUGUCCUGACGUGGGGGAGAGCCCGGCGAAAGGCGGAUUUACACCGCAAACGCUCUACGGCUGAAAGCGGGGGACCUUCGGGUCUCGCCCUUGCGCGUUUGACGAUGGCUGAUUAGGUUGUGGGAGGGGUAAAGGCCUACCACGGCGAAGGUCACGAGCUGGUCGGAGAGGACGACCAGCCAACCUGGAACUGAGACACGGCCCAGACUCCUACGGGAGGCAGCAGGGGGGAAUUUUGGACAAUGGGCGAAAGCCUGUUCAAGCAAUGCCGGGGGGGUGAAGAAGGCCUUCGGGUUGUAAAGCACUUUUGUCCGGAAAGAAAUCCGUGGCCCUAAUACGGGCGGGGGAUGACGGUACCGGAAGAAUAGACACCGGCUAACUACGG